UCAUUAUGAAAUGUCCAUCUUUAUCUCUGCUGGCUGAAGUAGACGUUGGAGUAAUUUUUCAGGAAGAAUGCAGGAGUCAAACACUUCAUGAGUCCUUGCAUAACUGAGAUUAUUGGUCUGUUGACUUCAUAUAUGAACCACAAUGUUUAAGUAUUCAAUCAUUUACCAAAAAAAAAUUACCUCAAGCAAAGUAGUGUGCUGGAUGCUAAAAAUACAGCAGUAGCAAAAUGUGCACCAUUGAUGUUUUUAUGGAUUUUACAUUUUAGUGGGAAAAACAGAUAUUAACAGCUGAGUCUACAAUUAAUUACUAGUGAUCAUUACAACAAAGGAGAAUCACAGAGUUUGAGCUCUAAUCACUGAAGAGAAAUGAGUAGAGAUGUGGUGUGACCAGUCCUGUCUUUUUAUUAAAAUCACACUAAUUCUGCUGUAGAGAAUAACUCAGAAAGGUGAAAGAAGACGAAGAUGGACCAGCAGGAAGGCUAUUUGUUAUGGCAAAGGCUCCAGCAAGAGAUGAUACUAGCUUGAACUAGACAAGUAGCCGUGGAAAUUGUAAGAGGUGGAUAUAUUUAAGGCCAUGUUAAAAACAUCUUUCACUCUUCUAUGUCUCACCCAUUCAACAUUAAAUCCAUUAGCAAUUCUGUACAUUUGAAAUAUAUCAUUUCUCACCACUCCCUUCCCUUUCACCCUAGUCCAAGUCACCAUUAUCUUUUGCCUGGACUACUGCAGAAGCCUCCUAACUACUGUUCCUGUGUUUACUUUUGCUCCCCUUCACAGAGUGAUCCUGCUAAAACAUAAAUCAGAUUAUGACACUUGUCUCAAAACUCAAAACAGUUUCCCAUCUCAGACUGAGUGAAAGCUGAAGUUCUAACAAUGGUCCACAGGCCAAAUAUGAUCUGGCCUUGUGUUUUCUGGCAUCAUCCCUUAUUACUCUGCUUUGCUUUUAUAGUCUAGCCAUACUGACCAUGUGUCAUUCCCUGACCAUGCCCGGGGCCUUUGCACUUGCUGUUCUCUUUGCCAAGAACACUCUCCCUAAAUCUUUGCAUGACUUGAUCUCUCUUAUUAUUCU
Molecule: long non-coding RNA, 1066 nt
Filed under: Homo sapiens (human)
Lineage: Eukaryota; Metazoa; Chordata; Mammalia; Primates; Hominidae
Description: HSALNT0172438
Source: RNAcentral